This 253-nucleotide ribosomal RNA is filed under the name uncultured bacterium. RNAcentral's name for it is "partial 16S ribosomal RNA". It matches the Rfam family "Bacterial small subunit ribosomal RNA", at positions 524 to 776 of the family's 1533-position model. The record is from RNAcentral.
UACGAGAGGCCCAAACGUUAUUCGGAUUUACUGGGCUAAAAGAGUUCGUAGGCCGCGCGGAAAGUAGGGUGUGAAAGCCCUCGGCUCAACCGAGGAACUGCGCUCUAAACUACCGUGCUUGAGGAACCUAGAGGUGAGCAGAACUGAUGGUGGAGCGGUGAAAUGCGUUGAUAUCAUCAGGAAUACCGGAGGCGAAGGCGGCUCACUGGGGGUUUUCUGACGCUGAGGAACGAAAGCCAGGGGAGCAAACGGG